GUACACUCCUGCGGGAGGCAGCAGUGGGGAAUAUUGAACAAUGGGCGCAAGCCUGAUCCAGCCAUGCCGCGUGAGUGAUGAAGGCCCUAGGGUUGUAAAGCUCUUUCACCGGUGAAGAUAAUGACGGUAACCGGAGAAGAAGCCCCGGCUAACUUCGUGCCAGCAGCCGCGGUAAUACGAAGGGGGCUAGCGUUGUUCGGAUUUACUGGGCGUAAAGCGCACGUAGGCGGACUAUUAAGUCAGGGGUGAAAUCCCGGGGCUCAACCCCGGAACUGCCUUUGAUACUGGUAGUCUUGAGUUCGAGAGAGGUGAGUGGAAUUCCGAGUGUAGAGGUGAAAUUCGUAGAUAUCCGGAGGAACACCAGUGGCGAAGGCGGCUCACUGGCUCGAUACUGACGCUGAGGUGCGAAAGCGUGGGGAGCAAACAGGAUUAGAAACCCUGGUAGUCCCAU
Molecule: ribosomal RNA, 451 nt
Filed under: uncultured organism
Description: partial 16S ribosomal RNA
Rfam family: Bacterial small subunit ribosomal RNA
Source: RNAcentral